Triticum aestivum (bread wheat) is the source of this 135-nucleotide non-coding RNA. The record is from Rfam. Lineage: Eukaryota; Viridiplantae; Streptophyta; Magnoliopsida; Poales; Poaceae.
CAACUACUCCCUCCGUCCCAAAAUUCUUGUCUUAGAUUUAUCUAGAUACAAAUGUAUCUAAUACUAAAACGUGACUUCAUACAUCCGUAUUUAGACAAAUUUAAGACAAGAAUUUUGGGACGGAGGGAGUACUCA